This 168-nucleotide ribosomal RNA is filed under the name Bikinia pellegrinii. RNAcentral describes it as "5.8S ribosomal RNA". It matches the Rfam family "5.8S ribosomal RNA". From Rfam's summary of the family: 5.8S ribosomal RNA (5.8S rRNA) is a component of the large subunit of the eukaryotic ribosome. It is transcribed by RNA polymerase I as part of the 45S precursor that also contains 18S and 28S rRNA. The record is from RNAcentral. Lineage: Eukaryota; Viridiplantae; Streptophyta; Magnoliopsida; Fabales; Fabaceae.
AACGACUCUCGGCAACGGAUAUCUUGACUCUUGCAUCGAUGAAGAAUGUAUUGAAAUGCGAUACUUGGAGUGAAUUGCAGAAUCCCGUGAACCAUCGAGUCUUUGAACAUAAGUUGUGCCCGAAGCUGUCAAACGCCGAGGGCACGUCUGGCUGGGUGUCACGCAACG